Molecule: long non-coding RNA, 1539 nt
Organism: Coregonus clupeaformis (lake whitefish)
Lineage: Eukaryota; Metazoa; Chordata; Actinopteri; Salmoniformes; Salmonidae
Exons: 2
Source: RefSeq, a predicted model, not a curated record
GAAGGCACUGUAUGUCCAGAGGAAAUAAAUAAUUACAAAGGAAUGCAAAGUGCAAUUACACAUAUUUGAUAAUAACACAAUAUUCAUCAUCAGAUAAUGUACAGUGUAACUUUCUAAAGAAAAUAAUAUAUAUGCCUAUGUAAGCUAUUUCUCUGACCAUAGUUUCAAAUGUUUCGUAGCGUAUUGUGCUAAAGGCCUUUUAGCACUGGUAAAGGAUAAGAGUUGGUACAAAUACACCUCUCAUUUCCACCUUCCAGUUGUUUGUAUCCCUCCAGCUGACAAUAAUGCAGUAAACACCAGCCUGUACACACAGCCAACAGAGUAGAGGAUGUAUUGGCUCCACUAGCUCCAUAUCAGUUGUGUCAGGGGUUUUCUAGGAGAGGUGUCAGGGGUUUUCCAGCAGAUCCAUAGGAGUGUGUGUGUGUGUGUGUGUACAUGGGCGUCUGUGUGCAUGUUUAGUAUGCACUGGGCUCAGUCGCGCUUCACUGAGACACACCCCUUCUUCUUUCCCAUCAGUUUUGUUUCCAGAAAAGUCAGUCUGAGUUUCACUUCACAGGGGAGGUGGAGACUCAGGCUUUGUCUCUACCCUGCAGUAUAAAAUCCACCCACUGCUCACUCUCCUCAGUCCUGCAGUCCUCUGCUGAACGCCAUUAUGACGACCACAGAUGAGCAGGAUGAAGAGGAAGAUGAUGAUUAUGACGAAAAAUAUGAAGGUGGUUACAAAGACCAUGAUGAUGGUGGUGAAGAUUAUUAGUAUAAUGACUUUUUAUAGUGUACAGUCAGGCUACUCCCAAGGGUAGCACACCAGGUUCCUUUGGCCCUGCAUACGGCACAUACACUGUAGGCCAUGUGUGGGGCUGUGGAACCGGUGGGCAGAAGUCCACCUGAGGCACUGAAACAGGUCUUAAAACAAGGAGGCAGAACUCCUUCCAGAUGAGGAAGGACAUAACCUUUUAACCUUGAAGAAAAAAGACUAUCACUAUCACAACGCUAUUUGAAGCUAUGUGAAGGAAUUUCUGAGUGGCUCAGAACAUUUCAGGGUUGCUGGCCAAUGGUUAGGAUUGCAUAACUUACUAUAUGAGGAUAUUACGUUUGCAGAUAUCUUUUCAUUAAUGUAAGCUAUGCAUCUCACUGCUAAAUGAAGAAAAAGUGAGAAAACUCAUAAUGUGAAAGCAUACAGUUACAGGGCAUAAAUAACAUAACAAAAUAGUAUGUUUAUUAUCAUACCAUGUUUACUUGUGUUCUAUUUUUAACAUAGGUACUAUGUUAAAAUAUAACUAAGGAUUUCUGUCGCUUGGUUCUGUGGCUAUAAGGGAACAUUUGAGGGUAGUUGUUCAGGAUAAAAUGGUUAUGAUUGGAUAUAUUUUCAUACUGUGGUAUGAACAUAAUUUAUGGUGAUUACAUGUUCAUAUAUAAUGUAUAUGUAGAUACAACUAAAAAUCAAAGCCAAGCUAACAUCUACCUUCACUUGGAGCCACAUGUUGAACGUCCCUUCUUGUGUUUUAUUUGUUUUGAAAUAAAUGUUUUCUUUCAUUCUAA